Molecule: ribosomal RNA, 548 nt
Filed under: uncultured Glomeromycotina
Lineage: Eukaryota; Fungi; Glomeromycota
Description: SSU rRNA
Rfam family: Eukaryotic small subunit ribosomal RNA
Source: RNAcentral
UUGGAGGGCAAGUCUGGUGCCCGCAGCCGCGGUAAUUCCAGCUCCAAUAGCGUAUAUUAAAGUUGUUGCAGUUAAAAAGCUCGUAGUUGAAUUUCGGGGUCAGUAGGCUGGUCGUGCCUCAGGUACGUACUGGUCUUACUGAUUCCUCCUUCCUGACGAACCGUAAUGCCAUUAAUUUGGUGUUGCGGGGAAUCUGGACUGUUACUUUGAAAAAAUUAGAGUGUUUAAAGCAGGCUAACGCUUGAAUACAUUAGCAUGGAAUAAUGAAAUAGGACGAUCGAUCCUAUUUUGUUGGUUUCUAGGAUUGACGUAAUGAUUAAUAGGGAUAGUUGGGGGCAUUAGUAUUCAAUUGUCAGAGGUGAAAUUCUUGGAUUUAUUGAAGACUAACUACUGCGAAAGCAUUUGCCAAGGAUGUUUUCAUUAAUCAAGAACGAAAGUUAGGGGAUCGAAGACGAUCAGAUACCGUCGUAGUCUUAACCAUAAACUAUGCCGACUAGGGAUCGGAUGAUGUUAAUUUUUUAAUGACUCAUUCGGCGCCUUACGGGAAA